UAGCAGACGUACUGGUCUACCAGGCUUUUAACUGCUUGCAGAGCUGUACCGGUCUACCCAUUUGGCGGCCCUUUGAAGCCCUGCGGCAAGAGUUUAAACAGUUUUUUUUCUUUCUAGACAUCAGCUGGGACUCGGGAGGCAGUGAAUAGAUUGGGGGCGGGGCCAAAUAAAAGGACAUGAGGAAACGGAUUUUGAUAACGGCCAGCAUGGAGAACCCUCUACCAGGAGAACUCUAUCUGGCAUUCAAAGCAACAGGGACAUAUGGAAAUGAAGGUGUCGCAUGUCUUUUGAUACCAGUUUAAUUUAGUUCAAUAUGGACAGUGUCCCGCUGCUGCAACCACAUUCAAGACUGCAUGCAUUCUUUAUAAAAAAUACCAUGCAAAGCACA
Molecule: long non-coding RNA, 388 nt
Organism: Pantherophis guttatus
Lineage: Eukaryota; Metazoa; Chordata; Lepidosauria; Squamata; Colubridae
Source: RefSeq, a predicted model, not a curated record